This 83-nucleotide transfer RNA is filed under the name Oryctolagus cuniculus (rabbit). It matches the Rfam family "tRNA". Rfam says of the family: Transfer RNA (tRNA) molecules are approximately 80 nucleotides in length. Their secondary structure includes four short double-helical elements and three loops (D, anti-codon, and T loops). The record is from Rfam by way of RNAcentral. Lineage: Eukaryota; Metazoa; Chordata; Mammalia; Lagomorpha; Leporidae.
GGUGCAGUGGCUCAUCAGGUUAAAGCCACGGCCUGCAGCGCCGGCAUCCCAUAUGGGUGCUGGUUCAAGUCCUGGCUGCUCCA